UUCCCAUCGCGUGGAUUGUCUACGACAGUAUAACGAGCACCACAAGCCCGGGUUUAUUUAGAGUUUGCUCUCCUAGGCAGAUUGCCUACCACGGCUGACGACCUCCACCUGCCCGGGUUUAUUGUUCGGAGUUUGCUCUCCUAGGUGAAUUGCCUACCACGGCUAACGACCUCCACCUGCCCGGGUUUGUUGUUCGGAGUUUGCUCUCCUAGGUGAAUUGCCUACCACGGCUAACGAGCCUCACCUGCCCGGGUUUGUUUAGAGUUUGCUCUCCUAGGUGAAUUGCCUACCACGGCUAACGAGCCUCACCUGCCCGGGUUUGUUUAGAGUUUGCUCUCCUAGGUGAAUUGCCUACCACGGCUAACGACCUCCACCUGCCCGGGUUUAUUGUUCGGAGUUUGCUCUCCUAGGUGAAUUGCCUACCACGGCUAACGAGCCUCACCUGCCCGGGUUUGUAUAGAGUUUGCUCUCCUAGGUGAAUUGCCUACCACGGCUAACGAGCCUCACCUGCCCGGGUUUGUAUAGAGUUUGCUCUCCUAGGUGAAUUGCCUACCACGGCUAACGAGCCUCACCUGCCCGGGUUUGUAUAGAGUUUGCUCUCCUAGGCAGAUUGCCUACCACGGCUAACGACCUCCACCUGCCCGGGUUUGUAGCCGGAAGAUCUCCGGCACCUCCAUCGGGGCCCCGAGGGACGCCGAGGAGCCCUGCCUGAGCCCUCCAUUCCUGCUAUGCUCGCCAGGGAGACCUUGGGCUCGCUGGCGCUCCACACCCCCGCCGAGGCGAGGAUGCAAGAACUCGCUUCUUAAAACUACCAGACUGGAUUAUAAAAUUAAUCAUAAUUACUGUGAAGGCGCCGGUCACCGCGUUUAUCGGUUCAGGGAUGGAAGACCGACGGGCCUGGGAAACGCGCACAAGCAUCCAAAGGAAUCCUCGCGACGGCUUGCGACGCAGCAUCCGUUUCCCUUUUCUUUCUCAUUCCAAUUUUUCUUUUUUAUUAUAUUUUCCUUCUCUGA
This is a long non-coding RNA of Eriocheir sinensis (Chinese mitten crab), 1013 nucleotides long. RefSeq lists it as uncharacterized. The transcript has 3 exons. Lineage: Eukaryota; Metazoa; Arthropoda; Malacostraca; Decapoda; Varunidae. The record is from RefSeq and is a predicted model, not a curated record.